Molecule: long non-coding RNA, 709 nt
Organism: Mauremys mutica (yellowpond turtle)
Lineage: Eukaryota; Metazoa; Chordata; Testudines; Geoemydidae
Exons: 3
Source: RefSeq, a predicted model, not a curated record
UCCAGCUCGUGAGUUUCUUGACUCCCUCCCAUGUUGUUCUCUCUCUCUCCUCUGUGUUGGCCAACACAUGCUCUCUGUCCUUGCCUCUUCUUGUGCUGUCUCCCUUAGUAGGACACGGGUAGGUGUGGAUCCCCACAGGCUAGGUCUCAGGAGCCAGGAAGAAGUAGGAGGGGAUGAAAAUCAUGUGGGGUCGUGGGUGCAAGAGUGGAGGCAGGUAUUGUAAAAUAUCUAGCACGGUAGCAUGUUGGACAGUGAUGGCUCUUCCAUAGGUGGUUUGCUGUUCUUGCAGAGGUCUGCUCAAGGCCCAUGGAGCCGCCCCAGACAGAGGAGAAGCAGCUGGAGGAACCAGACCUGCACAAUCUAGAUGUUUUUCACUUGGCAGUGGAGCUAAGGAGUGCUCUUGUGAUAUUCGAGGAGCAGUACCAAGGGAAAAGAAGUGGAGGGUCCGAGUCUGCUCCCCUCAUGCGAUGGAAAGCAAGUAAGAGCAGGGAGACAGCGAACAUUACUGAUGCCAGGCAAGAGCCGUCCAGCUUGGAGCCGAGCAGCCGUCACCGUCAGUGAGAGAAGUGUCUUGUUAGCUGCGCUGGUACAGGAAUUGUCCAGGAACCCUACCCGGAGGAGAGACUCUCAGAAGUGAACCUGAUUAGCCUGAACAUCCUUCUAAGCAGACAUGAACAGUCCUGAGCUUUCUGCCUCCUGCAUAAAAGGC